GAUGAACGCUAGCUACAGGCUUAACACAUGCAAGUCGAGGGGAAACGAUAGAGAAAGCUUGCUUUUGAUGGGCGUCGACCGGCGCACGGGUGAGUAACGCGUAUCCAACCUGCCCACCACUUGGGGAUAACCUUGCGAAAGUAAGACUAAUACCCGAUGAUAUCCCUAGAAGACAUCUGAAAGGGAUUAAAGAUUUAUCGGUGAUGGAUGGGGAUGCGUCUGAUUAGCUUGUUGGCGGGGUAACGGCCCACCAAGGCGACGAUCAGUAGGGGUUCUGAGAGGAAGGUCCCCCACAUUGGAACUGAGACACGGUCCAAACUCCUACGGGAGGCAGCAGUGAGGAAUAUUGGUCAAUGGGCGAGAGCCUGAACCAGCCAAGUAGCGUGCGGGACGACGGCCCUAUGGGUUGUAAACCGCUUUUGAUUGGGAACAAAGAGCGCCACGUGUGGUGCGUUGCGUGUACCUUUCGAAUAAGCAUCGGCUAAUUCCGUG
RNAcentral lists this ribosomal RNA (492 nucleotides) under uncultured bacterium. Its description in RNAcentral is "bacterial SSU rRNA". It matches the Rfam family "Bacterial small subunit ribosomal RNA", at positions 28 to 507 of the family's 1533-position model. The record is from RNAcentral.